RNAcentral lists this ribosomal RNA (606 nucleotides) under uncultured soil bacterium. RNAcentral's name for it is "bacterial SSU rRNA". It matches the Rfam family "Bacterial small subunit ribosomal RNA", at positions 35 to 619 of the family's 1533-position model. The record is from RNAcentral.
GCUGGCGGCGUGGAUAAGACAUGCAAGUCGAACGAGACUUUCCGUUGUAGCAAUACGAUGGAAAGUUUAGUGGCGAACGGGUGCUUAACACGUGGGCAACCUGCCAUGAAGUGGGGGAUAGCUCGCCGAAAGGCGAAUUAAUACCGCAUGUGAUUAGAGAGGACAUCCUUUCGAAAUUAAAGUCGGGGCAACCUGACGCUUCUUGUGGGGCCCGCGGCCUAUCAGCUAGUUGGUGAGGUAACGGCUCACCAAGGCUUUGACGGGUAGCUGGUCUGAGAGGACGACCAGCCACACUGGGACUGAGACACGGCCCAGACACCUACGGGUGGCAGCAGUCGAGAAUUUUUGACAAUGGGGGAAACCCUGAUCGAGCGACGCCGCGUGGAGGAUGAAGGUCUUCGGAUUGUAAACUCCUGUCAUUUGGGAACAAGGUGCACACGUUAACUGCGUGCGUAUUGAUAGUACCAGAAGAGGAAGGGACGGCUAACUCUGUGCCAGCAGCCGCGGUAAUACAGAGGUCUCAAGCGUUGUUCGGAUUCAUUGGGCGUAAAGGGUGCGUAGGCGGCGCGGUAAGUCGGGUGUGAAAUCUCGGAGCUUAACUCCGAA